UUUUGUGGGGUGCUCGAGUGGCGAACGGGUGAGUAACACGUGAGUAACCUGCCCUUGACUUUGGGAUAACUUCAGGAAACUGGGGCUAAUACCGGAUAGGAGCUCCUGCUGCAUGGUGGGGGUUGGAAAGUUCGGCGGUUGGGGAUGGACUCGCGGCUUAUCAGCUUGUUGGUGGGGUAGUGGCUUACCAAGGCUUUGACGGGUAGCCGGCCUGAGAGGGUGACCGGCCACAUUGGGACUGAGAUACGGCCCAG
This 254-nucleotide ribosomal RNA is filed under the name uncultured Actinomycetales bacterium. RNAcentral's name for it is "partial 16S ribosomal RNA". It matches the Rfam family "Bacterial small subunit ribosomal RNA", at positions 78 to 334 of the family's 1533-position model. Lineage: Bacteria; Bacillati; Actinomycetota; Actinomycetes; Actinomycetales. The record is from RNAcentral.